AAGGUCCCAAGGGUUCGGUUGUUUGCCGAUUCAAGUGGUACGUGAGUUGGGUUUAGAACGUCGUGAGACAGUUCGGUUCCUAUCUACCGUUGGUGUUUAAGGGAGAACUGCGAGGAGCCAGCCAAACUGCGGUCCACUUUGUACGUUUGCUGAGCAGACCACUCAGGCAUUUUAGAAAAGGGAAGGGAACUUCUCACCCCGAGGGAGGCGGGAAGCGGUAGCUUCUAGAAUGGAAGCUUCUCCUUUACUUUUUUAGAGCGUAUCGCUAUUUUGAAAUUAAAAAAAGGUUUAUGGAUGAAGUAAUCGGAAUGACAAGUGGUCCAUUUGAAGGUCAAUUUGGGUUGAACCAUUGCAACAGUCCUUGAUUAUAUCACUAAUCUAAGCUGUCAAACUUACUAACCUAACUUGUCAAACUUUGGGCUAGUCCUAUUAAUUUAAGCUAAUUUUAAUAUCUUUAGUCAGAGCUCUAGUAUGCUUUUUUCUGAUGAGGAUUAGUAUAAUCUACCAUUAACAUUUUUUCCUCUACUAAUCAUUCACUAUCCUGCCGGUAUUUUUCUUGGACAGCAAACGGUUGAAGCUUUACUUGAAUCAGGAUACUCUCUUGUCAAAGAACAAAAGUUGAUUAUGGAUAGCAAACUUUCAAAAGAAUACAUGAAGAACAUGGAUGAAUAGUACGUGACUAUAUGCUUUAUAAAGGCUUGAGGUUAUUUUGUGUACAUCAUUGACUGAACAAACCGUAAGACAUUAUCCGUAAAGGAAUCGCGAAAGGUGAAUUUAAGUUUAUUUUUUCUAUUCUUUUUAUUUCUUUUUUGCAAAAGAGCUGAAUACUUUCCUCUCUAUAGUACUGACUCGUAAUACUGAGGUCCCAAAAUCAGGACACUCCAGAAAUUCUUUUUUGAGAAAAAAGGAUGAGAACUCCCUCUUAUUGUUUAAGUAAAUGAUUUGAAGUCGUUGGCUGAAAGGAGCCUUGGAGCAACGGUCAAGUUGUUUUCGUGUGACCUAUAGGUCACGGGUUCGAGCCGUAGAAUUAGUUACUGAUACUUGCAUCAGGGUAGGCUGCCUACAUCACACGCCCUUGAGGUUCGGCCUUUCCCCGGACCCUGCAUAACGCGAGAUGCUUUAUAUACCGAGCUGCCCAUCUAAAGUCAUUGGCGUCUGCUUUUAUGAUGGCCCGUGGUAUUCUAAAUAGUGUGGCAAUAAAGUAGGUACAUAUUCAUCUCUCAAGGGCUAAAGUCCCCUUCUAAUUUAAUGUGAGUUAAGGUAGUUUGCAGAUGGACCAUUUCCUUUCCUCACAGCCCCACCAAUUUAAUGAGUAUAGGAUGAUCUUGACUAACUGCACUUGGUACUUUUCUGAUGGAAGCCUGCUUUCAUUGGGCUCACGUUUUUCUUCCUUUCUACUUCAGUUUAUCUUUUAUGUCUUUGUAUUUGUAAUGCAAAUUAACAAAGCGAUUAUCUGCUGAAUCACCAAUGCCUAAAUUUGACUUUGCUAUUGGUAGGGAUUUUUUGGUUUCCAC
This 1514-nucleotide long non-coding RNA is filed under the name Nicotiana tabacum (common tobacco). Its description in RNAcentral is "long non-coding RNA (NTAB_LNC003689)". The stretch from base 1 to 350 matches the Rfam family "Bacterial large subunit ribosomal RNA", at positions 2559 to 2925 of the family's 2925-position model. Lineage: Eukaryota; Viridiplantae; Streptophyta; Magnoliopsida; Solanales; Solanaceae. The record is from RNAcentral.